UACGUAGGGUGCGAGCGUUGUCCGGAAUUAUUGGGCGUAAAGAGCUCGUAGGCGGUCUGUCGCGUCGAUCGUGAAAACUUGGGGCUUAACCCUGAGCUUGCGGUCGAUACGGGCAUGACUGGAGUUCGGCAGGGGAGACUGGAAUUCCUGGUGUAGCGGUGAAAUGCGCAGAUAUCAGGAGGAACACCGGUGGCGAAGGCGGGUCUCUGGGCCGAUACUGACGCUGAGGCACGAAAGCGUGGGGAGCAAACGGG
Molecule: ribosomal RNA, 254 nt
Filed under: uncultured bacterium
Lineage: Bacteria
Description: partial 16S ribosomal RNA
Rfam family: Bacterial small subunit ribosomal RNA
Source: RNAcentral